This 253-nucleotide ribosomal RNA is filed under the name uncultured bacterium. RNAcentral describes it as "partial 16S ribosomal RNA". It matches the Rfam family "Bacterial small subunit ribosomal RNA", at positions 524 to 776 of the family's 1533-position model. The record is from RNAcentral.
UACGUAGGGUGCGAGCGUUACUCGGAAUUACUGGGCGUAAAGUGUGCGCAGGUGGCGCUGUAAGUCAGGUGUGAAAUUUCGGAGCUUAACUCCGAAACUGCAUUUGAUACUGCGGUGCUUGAGGACUGGAGAGGAGACUGGAAUUCACGGUGUAGCAGUGAAAUGCGUAGAGAUCGUGAGGAAGACCAGUGGCGAAGGCGGGUCUCUGGACAGUACCUGACACUGAGGCACGAAGGCCAGGGGAGCAAACGGG